UGAGGCAGGAGAAUUGCUUGAACCCGGGAGGUGGAGGCUGCAGUGAGCCGAGAUCGCACCACUGCACUCCAGCCUAGGUGACAAAGCGAGACUCCAUCUCA
This 101-nucleotide microRNA precursor is filed under the name Chlorocebus sabaeus (green monkey). RNAcentral's name for it is "miRNA (ENSCSAG00000020652.1)". The record is from RNAcentral. Lineage: Eukaryota; Metazoa; Chordata; Mammalia; Primates; Cercopithecidae.